This is a long non-coding RNA of Carassius auratus (goldfish), 969 nucleotides long. RefSeq lists it as uncharacterized. Lineage: Eukaryota; Metazoa; Chordata; Actinopteri; Cypriniformes; Cyprinidae. The transcript is spliced from 7 exons. The record is from RefSeq and is a predicted model, not a curated record.
CAUGUAAAUGGGCUUUAGUCCAAAUUUAGCAGAAAAAAAAAACUUUUAUUUCGCACCACAAAGCCAUUAACAUGAACUAGUGAAGAAAUUAGACAUCAUGUCUGAUCGCACUGUUAAAUAUAUUUAAAUAUAUUUUGAAAACACUUGAUGGUCACGCGCUGUACUGGAGUCACCAUGGAAACGGGGCUCAGCUCAACCGUUAAGCAGCUGAACAGACGCUGUCUCUCAUGGUUGUUUUCACUAAUUUCAGUUUAUAGAAAUGGUCAGUGUCUUCAUAAAAAGUCCGUUAGCAUCUCAACUGUAAUGCUAACUACAAGAGUUAUUUUGAUGUCCACACUGUAAGAGUAUUAAUCGAUUCUUCCAUGCUGAUGGCCGUGCCUGUAUCCAGCUGAAGAACAUUUUUAGACAUUAUGAAACAUAUAACUAAGACUGAAAAUCAUUGAUAAACCACAAGCUCCAACCCCAGUUAAGCAGACCUGAGCAGCCGAUCAAGGAUCAGCAGAAACUCUGCAGAACGGUGGUCCUCCAGCCCAGGACUGGACACCAGUGUUAUGCUGCAGAAAAAAGAGCGAGGCUAAAGCAUUCAAAGUGGAAACAUCUGCCGUGGCUCAUUAAUCCAGAAUUGGGAUGGAGGAAGGAGCAGAAGAUCAGAGAUCAGGCAGAGAUCUACUGGUGCCCCUGUGGGAACCCCAUUUACCUAAUGUGUUAGUUUAACCAAAGAUUUUCCUCACUCACCUUUAUGUUGUUCCAAACCAGACUUUUGUUCAUCAUUGAAACAUAAAUGCGGAACUUUUUAAUGAAAUCUGAGAUUAUUUUCUUUAUAUAAAAUAACACAUUCACACAAGCACCAUGAUGCAUCAGUGUUGCAUUGGCGUGAGAGCUGGCGCUUUUGGUGCUUUUGUGAAAAUCCAUUGGGGAGUCAUAAUUUCUGAAUAGAUUAUUUUUGCUGUUGUUAUUGUUUGUUUGUUU